UUUCCCUUACGGGUUGCCACAACGAUGCGUCACACUGACGAUUCGCAUGUUGACAUUUGGCACGUGCUUUACGCAGGAUGCCCUUCUUGACUCGAAGUCGCAGCUGCGCCUAGCCACUAGUCUAUUGGGGAUACAUUUGUUUCAAUACAUUCCUUCUAAAUCAAAUUCAUGGUAGUUUUAUAGUGAAAAUUAGAAGCGGAUAUAUUGCUCUCGACGUGAUACGGUUUGAGCUGCUUUGGCUCGAAAACAGUCGGUCCCGUAAUUCCUUAUCAAAGGUAAAAAAAAACUGUUUUUGUGGUAAUGUACGAACUGGUUUGUUUCACCAUUUAAUUUUGAGUUUACGUUAGUUGUCUGUCUAGUCAGUAAAAAUCGGUUCGUUUGUCUAGUUUAUUUAACCACCAUGCUAAUAUUAGCAUGAUUACCCAUCUAGUUCGCUACUUAGCAGCCUAACAAGCUACAGUUAGACGAAAAUGUCAUUUUAAAAUGUGGCUUGCUAUAGCCUGCUUGAUCCCUUUUCAGUUUGUGUUGGCCGGUGUUUCAUUGUAACUUCAGUAUAGCUGUCAUCUGUUAGCACUCUACUAGUAGCUCAAUGUUAAUGUGUGGAAAUAAGGGUUAUUGUAGCCUAAAUGAUGCUGUACCCACUUCAUUUCAGCAAAUAAUCACACGUGCUCUCUUUAAACGGAUCGUAGAAACUUGUAUUAUCUGCUCACGUGUGUAAAGCUUUUUAUUAAUAAACAGAAUAUCAUGAACCAGGAGAAGCUCGCCAAAAUUCAGGCACAAGUCCGGAUAGGUGGAAAGGUACAGUCUACGUGUUGUCUGAAUUUCUAAUACAAGUUUAACAGUAGCUGUUGUGUGUUCAUAGCAUUUUAUUUUGUAACUCAGUUCACUAUUGAAGACCAUGUGAAACUGUAAGAGGAACCUAGUAAGUGGAUAUUGAGUUACGAUUGUUUGGUCAAGCUGUAUCGCCAAGGGAACAGCCCGCAGGAAGAAGAAGGUUGUUCACAAAACAGCAACAGCUGAUGACAAAAAACUGCAGGGCUCACUGAAGAAGAUGGCAGUGCACAACAUCACAGGGAUAGAAGAGGUUUUUCCUCUCAGGUCAAUAUAAUAAGAGACGAUGGGACAGUGAUCCACUUCAACAACCCCAAAGUGCAGGGAUCUCUGUCCACCAACACCUUCGCCAUCAUGGGCCACAUCGAGAACAAGCAGCUGUCAGAGAUGCUGCCGGGCAUCCUGAGCCAGCUGGGAGCCGACUACCUCAGCAGCCUGCGCAAGUUGGUUGGGCAGUUCCCACGGGAAUGUGAGUACACACACAAGGUUAAACACUCGGUCACAGUGUUGGGGUGAGUAUUGGGUCCAAUACAAGAUGCUUUUUUUUCACUGCAGGUUAGUUUAGAAAAAUUAGGAUUUGUUAUAUUUUCAAGGACAACACAGUCACAUGUUCACAACAUCACAUAUUCUUUGUGAAUGGAAAACAUCUAACUUUUUAAGUUGCAUUCUCUGUGUAUUAAAAAUGUCUUAAAUUAAAUUUCUUGAACACUGCUUAAGCCCUUUGGUUGAUUCCUAAAUUAAAAUAUGCUGCCUUCAACAUACCAGUGUACUUUCAGAUUUGUGUGGCAGCGUCACAGAGCAGCACUUUGUUUAGAAUCACUGCAGAGCCAGUGGAGAUGAAACUUGUAAAUGUAACAUAGCAAAACAAGUUGUGGCAGUGAGGGCUGCAGGGAAACGGCAACAGAAAAGAAUAUAAACAUUUAGACAGUGAUUGUUCAAAAGGGUGCAGAUUUCUUCCAGUUGAAGUCCAGCACACCAGCGGAGCAUCUAGAUGGCCCGGUUUACUCAGCUGGCCCCAGUGUCUGCAUGUAGAUAAACAAUAAACCCAGUAAAGGAAACAUAGGGGACAGGAGCAGCUCUUCCACAUGGCAACACAGCUAAUUAUGUAACAAAACAUUGUGCAGUCUAAAAUAAAGGCAGUACCUAACAAGUCUUCACCACAAGGUCAGUUCUAGGUGUUUGAUUGCUCUUUUCUGAUCAUAGAUGUUCCAGUUUUUGUUGCUGAGCACAUUGUGUCCUUUUUGAGCAGCACCUUUUUAUUUUAAUGUUUUGUCACAGAGUUUAGCAGACUAAGAAACAAAUAAUUCACAUCUUGAGCCAGUGUGUGAAGGUAAGUCAUGAAAAUUAAUUCCUAAUGGAAAAAACACCAUUUUUUGAAGGCAUUAUUUAGUGGAGAAACAGGCAGACUAACAAUAAGUCAACAGUAGUUCACUUCUUUUUUGCUUUUUUUUUUUUUUUCUCCUUGAUACAUUUUGCAGCAGGGGACAUGAAAGUAGGCAAGGAGGAAAUCACAGAAGAGGAGGAUGACAAUGUUCCAGAUCUUGUGGAGAACUUUGAUGAAGCCUCCAAAAACGAAGGAAACUGAGUCUUUUUUUUUUUCUUUAAGCAUCAACUUUUUUAAUCUUUUGCCUCUUCUGGAGUCACAAAGGGCAUUUCCUCUUGUGGAAAAACAGUUGUUAAAGGUGCAGUGCAUCACCUCCAGGGAUGGGAACCACUUUGGUUCAGGCUGCACACCAGCACAACAAUAAAAUGCAGGACACAGUAGGUUUUGACUUCAGAAGGCGGUGAUAUUUUAGACGCACUGAGAAACGAGGAUCUGUACAAACCUUGGCGCCGUGCAGACUUUCCACAUGGUUAAACGUAACUUAAUAGAUUUCAGUUAGAGUGAACAAUUGAAUCACUUCUAAUAGUGGAAAUGAAUGAAUUUAUAAAAUAUGGCUGGGAUAUCAGUGUUUCUCUUAUUUAU
Molecule: long non-coding RNA, 2797 nt
Organism: Monopterus albus (swamp eel)
Lineage: Eukaryota; Metazoa; Chordata; Actinopteri; Synbranchiformes; Synbranchidae
Exons: 4
Source: RefSeq, a predicted model, not a curated record